Molecule: long non-coding RNA, 677 nt
Organism: Micropterus salmoides (largemouth bass)
Lineage: Eukaryota; Metazoa; Chordata; Actinopteri; Centrarchiformes; Centrarchidae
Exons: 2
Source: RefSeq, a predicted model, not a curated record
GACAGCACAGUUGUUAAGCAAGUCUGAAUGUUUGUGUUAUUUCUUGUACCUGUUCAAUGACAGUUUAUCCAGCUCCUCGGCUGAAUGUGCAGUAGUGUUUAUGUAAUGUUUUUGAUCAUGUUGUAAUGGAAGAACUGGGCAUUAACUGGGAGGGGUCCCUUGUGGAAAACCAAUUCACCUGAACCUAAACAGUUAGCAUUAUCAGAACAGUUAGACAUGAUAUCAGAUGAAAAUCUGAUAGUGGUUGUUAGUUAAUUAGAGGUAAUAUUGCUUUGAUAUAGACAAAAUAUUUCCUUUUCCCUUCCACAGAUGCUGUGUGAUAAAGCAGUUUCCAAAUCUCAUAGUGUCAAUGCAACGAGUCCUACUCAAAGAUAAGCGACCCUCCACUCCAAGGAUAAGGAUUGUGACCUGUUUCAGUUUCAGUUUGGUUCCACCAUUUGUACUGCAUGCUUGUGACGGAGUACCUUCACUACAGCUGAGAACUACAGGGGGAUCAUAAGCAAGACGCUUAUAGAGAUGUGUCCCCACCCUGAGUCUCGACCCCAGGGUUCCUAGCCGCUCCGGCUACACGACCCAGAUCAACCCAUUUCAUCACUACCUUCUUGACCCCUUGAUUCCUUUCCCUCCAUGCAUUCAUCCCCGAUCCUUCUCUCUAAUCAAAUAAACUACAUACCUUA